GAUGAAGAACUCAGCGAAAUGCGAUAAGUAGUGUGAAUUGCAGAAUUCAGUGAAUCAUCGAAUCUUUGAACGCACAUUGCGCCCCAUGGUAUUCCGUGGGGCAUGCCUGUUCGAGCGUCAUUUACCCCCUCAAGCUCCGCUUGGUGUUGGGCGUCUGUCCCGCUUCGCGCGCGGACUCGCCCCAAAGGUAUUGGCAGCGGUCGUGCCAGCUUCUCGCGCAGCACAUUGCGCUUCUCGAGGCACCGGUGGGCCCGCGUCCAUCAAGCUCACCCCCCCAGUUUGACCUCGGAUCAGGUAGGGAUACCCGCUGAACUUAAGCAUAUCAAUAAGCGGAGGA
This 337-nucleotide unclassified non-coding RNA is filed under the name soil metagenome. Its description in RNAcentral is "partial contains 5.8S ribosomal RNA, internal transcribed spacer 2, and large subunit ribosomal RNA". The stretch from base 1 to 120 matches the Rfam family "5.8S ribosomal RNA", at positions 35 to 154 of the family's 154-position model. The record is from RNAcentral.